GAGGAGGGUUCAUGUGAUGCUAUGACUAUGACGUGAACAAAGAGUAGACAUCAUUUCACCAACUGUUAGGAUGGAGGACACAUCUCUACUGCAGCUACUCUUUCUGACCUCACUGCUGAGCAGCACAACAAACCAAGCCUCUCUGACUGUGAGUCCCAGCAGCUCUCAGAUGUUUG
This is a long non-coding RNA of Perca fluviatilis (European perch), 176 nucleotides long. RefSeq lists it as uncharacterized. The record is from RefSeq and is a predicted model, not a curated record. NCBI's taxonomy places the organism in Eukaryota, Metazoa, Chordata, Actinopteri, Perciformes, Percidae. The transcript is spliced from 3 exons.